Molecule: ribosomal RNA, 448 nt
Filed under: uncultured bacterium
Lineage: Bacteria
Description: SSU rRNA
Rfam family: Bacterial small subunit ribosomal RNA
Source: RNAcentral
AGAGCGAACGCUGGCGGCAGGCUUAACACAUGCAAGUCGAGCGGGCGUAGCAAUACGUCAGCGGCAGACGGGUGAGUAACGCGUGGGAACGUACCUUUUGGUUCGGAACAACACAGGGAAACUUGUGCUAAUACCGGAUAAGCCCUUACGGGGAAAGAUUUAUCGCCGAAAGAUCGGCCCGCGUCUGAUUAGCUAGUUGGUGAGGUAACGGCUCACCAAGGCGACGAUCAGUAGCUGGUCUGAGAGGAUGAUCAGCCACAUUGGGACUGAGACACGGCCCAAACUCCUACGGGAGGCAGCAGUGGGGAAUAUUGGACAAUGGGCGCAAGCCUGAUCCAGCCAUGCCGCGUGAGUGAUGAAGGCCCUAGGGUUGUAAAGCUCUUUGUGCGGGAAGAUAAGUGACGGUACCGCAAGAAUAAGCCCCGGCUAACUUCGUGCCAGCAGCCGC